AUUGAACGCUGGCGGCAGGCCUAACACAUGCAAGUCGAGCGGAUGAAGGGAGCUUGCUCCUGGAUUCAGCUGCGGACGGGUGAGUAAUGCCUAGGAAUCUGCCUGGUAGUGGGGGAUAACGUCCGGAAACGGGCGCUAAUACCGCAUACGUCCUGAGGGAGAAAGUGGGGGAUCUUCGGACCUCACGCUAUCAGAUGAGCCUAGGUCGGAUUAGCUAGUUGGUGGGGUAAAGGCCUACCAAGGCGACGAUCCGUAACUGGUCUGAGAGGAUGAUCAGUCACACUGGAACUGAGACACGGUCCAGACUCCUACGGGAGGCAGCAGUGGGGAAUAUUGGACAAUGGGCGAAAGCCUGAUCGGGCCAUGCCGCGUGUGUGAAGAAGGUCUUCGGAUUGUAAAGCACUUUAAGUUGGGAGGAAGAGCAGUAAGUUAAUACCUUGCUGUUUUGACGUUACCAAAAGAAUAAGCACCGGCUAACUUCGUG
RNAcentral lists this ribosomal RNA (484 nucleotides) under uncultured bacterium. Its description in RNAcentral is "partial 16S ribosomal RNA". It matches the Rfam family "Bacterial small subunit ribosomal RNA", at positions 30 to 507 of the family's 1533-position model. The record is from RNAcentral.